AGGGCGACAACGUCCGCCCACACCCGUAGGUCUUUGGAAGUUAAGAGAGCGUGUGCACUGCCCCCGCCCCAACACAACCAAAACAAUGAAAGCUAUCAUUCAGAGGGUCACCAAGGCGACUGUGACAGUGGGAGGAGAAGAGAUCAGUUCAAUAGGACGAGGACUGUGUGUACUGCUGGGAAUAUCAGUGGAGGAUACCCAGAAGGAUGCGGACUACCUAGUACGCAAGAUCCUGAACCUGCGGCUGUUUGAAGAUGAGAACGGCCGGGCGUGGAGCAAAAGUGUCAUGGACAGGGACUUUGAGGUGCUGUGUGUGAGCCAGUUCACGCUGCAGUGCAUACUGAAAGCCAACAAGCCAGACUUCCACUCAGCCAUGCCUGCAGAGUUGGCCCAGCCCUUCUACAAUAGCAUCCUGGAGAACAUGAGGAGUACCUACAAGCCAGAGCUGAUUAAGGAUGGGAAAUUUGGUGCCUAUAUGCAGGUCCACAUACAAAAUGACGGGCCUGUUACCAUUGAGCUGAUGUCACCUAGUGGCCCCACAGACCCCAAACAGCUGUCCAAGCAGGAGAAGCAGCAGCAGAGGAAAGAGAAGACGCGCUCCAAGGGCCCCUCUGAGUCGAGCAGGGAAAAAGUCGCUUCACGUUCCCGACAGGACCCCAAUGCCAGCAGUGGAGCUGACGGUGAUGUGUCAUCAGAGAGGGAGACCUAGGUCAGCAGGGUGAGGGAGCCUCGGAGACGUACACAAAAACAAUCACACAAAUAUGUCAAACCGGGGACAUAACGGUGAGCCCAGUUUCCACAGGAAGGCCUUAAUCCUCAGUGACUCUUACAGCUGACCGUGGACUGUGCUCCUUCCUUUUGGAAAUCAGCAGGAUUCUCUUGGCCUGUCGCAGAGCAUCAC
Molecule: RNA transcript, 901 nt
Organism: Perca flavescens (yellow perch)
Lineage: Eukaryota; Metazoa; Chordata; Actinopteri; Perciformes; Percidae
Gene: dtd1
Gene name: D-aminoacyl-tRNA deacylase 1
Exons: 6
Source: RefSeq, a predicted model, not a curated record